This 803-nucleotide ribosomal RNA is filed under the name Staphylococcus sp. A-134-1-4. RNAcentral describes it as "bacterial SSU rRNA". It matches the Rfam family "Bacterial small subunit ribosomal RNA", at positions 87 to 877 of the family's 1533-position model. Lineage: Bacteria; Bacillati; Bacillota; Bacilli; Caryophanales; Staphylococcaceae. The record is from RNAcentral.
UGACGUUAGCGGCGGACGGGUGAGUAACACGUGGGUAACCUACCUAUAAGACUGGGAUAACUUCGGGAAACCGGAGCUAAUACCGGAUAACAUUUGGAACCGCAUGGUUCUAAAGUGAAAGAUGGUUUUGCUAUCACUUAUAGAUGGACCCGCGCCGUAUUAGCUAGUUGGUAAGGUAACGGCUUACCAAGGCGACGAUACGUAGCCGACCUGAGAGGGUGAUCGGCCACACUGGAACUGAGACACGGUCCAGACUCCUACGGGAGGCAGCAGUAGGGAAUCUUCCGCAAUGGGCGAAAGCCUGACGGAGCAACGCCGCGUGAGUGAUGAAGGGUUUCGGCUCGUAAAACUCUGUUAUUAGGGAAGAACAAAUGUGUAAGUAACUGUGCACGUCUUGACGGUACCUAAUCAGAAAGCCACGGCUAACUACGUGCCAGCAGCCGCGGUAAUACGUAGGUGGCAAGCGUUAUCCGGAAUUAUUGGGCGUAAAGCGCGCGUAGGCGGUUUCUUAAGUCUGAUGUGAAAGCCCACGGCUCAACCGUGGAGGGUCAUUGGAAACUGGGAAACUUGAGUGCAGAAGAGGAAAGUGGAAUUCCAUGUGUAGCGGUGAAAUGCGCAGAGAUAUGGAGGAACACCAGUGGCGAAGGCGACUUUCUGGUCUGUAACUGACGCUGAUGUGCGAAAGCGUGGGGAUCAAACAGGAUUAGAUACCCUGGUAGUCCACGCCGUAAACGAUGAGUGCUAAGUGUUAGGGGUUUCCGCCCCUUAGUGCUGCAGCUAACGCAUUAAGCACUCCGCCUGGG